Eurypyga helias (sunbittern) is the source of this 163-nucleotide non-coding RNA. NCBI's taxonomy places the organism in Eukaryota, Metazoa, Chordata, Aves, Eurypygiformes, Eurypygidae. The record is from Rfam.
AGACUUCCUAACAGGGAAGACACCAUGACCAGGCAGGUGGUUUUCCUAGGAGGAAGCUCAUCCCUUGCACUCCAGGUGUGCUGAUCCCUGCGAUUUCCCCAAAUGCGGGAACCUUAACUGCAUAAUUUGUGGUAGUGGGGGCCUGACUGUGUUUCUUUUCUUU